This 432-nucleotide ribosomal RNA is filed under the name uncultured bacterium. RNAcentral describes it as "partial 16S ribosomal RNA". It matches the Rfam family "Bacterial small subunit ribosomal RNA", at positions 29 to 506 of the family's 1533-position model. The record is from RNAcentral.
AACGAACGCUGGCGGCAUGCCUAAUACAUGCAAGUCGAACGAGACCUUCGGGUCUAGUGGCGCACGGGUGCGUAACGCGUGGGAACCUGCCCUUAGGUUCGGAAUAACUCCCCGAAAGGGGUGCUAAUACCGGAUAAUGUCUUCGGACCAAAGAUUUAUCGCCUUUGGAUGGGCCCGCGUCGGAUUAGCUAGUUGGUAGGGUAAAAGCCUACCAAGGCGACGAUCCAUAGCUGGUCUGAGAGGAUGAUCAGCCACACUGGGACUGAGACACGGCCCAGACUCCUACGGGAGGCAGCAGUGGGGAAUAUUGGACAAUGGGCGAAAGCCUGAUCCAGCAAUGCCGCGUGAGUGAUGAAGGCCUUAGGGUUGUAAAGCUCUUUUACCCGGGAUGAUAAUGACAGUACCGGGAGAAUAAGCUCCGGCUAACUCCGU